CAGCCGCCGCGGUAAUACGUAGGGUGCAAGCGUUAAUCGGAAUUACUGGGCGUAAGGCGUGCGCAAGCGGUUUUGUAAGUCUGUCGUGAAAUCCCCGGGCUCAACCUGGGAAUGGCGAUGGAGACUGCAAGGCUAGAAUCUGGCAGAGGGGGGUAGAAUUCCACGUGUAGCAGUGAAAUGCGUAGAUAUCAGGAGGAACACCUGUGGCGAAAGCGGCUCACUGGACCAUAACUGACGCUGAGGCACGAAAGCUAGGGGAGCAAACAGGAUUAGAUACCCCAGUAGUCCCUGUCUCUUAUAA
Molecule: ribosomal RNA, 301 nt
Filed under: uncultured bacterium
Lineage: Bacteria
Description: partial 16S ribosomal RNA
Rfam family: Bacterial small subunit ribosomal RNA
Source: RNAcentral